GAAAUGCGAUAAGUAGUGUGAAUUGCAGAAUUCAGUGAAUCAUCGAAUCUUUGAACGCACAUUGCGCCCCUUGGUAUUCCAUGGGGCAUGCCUGUUCGAGCGUCAUUUGUACUCUCAAGCUAUGCUUGGUGUUGGGUGUUUGUCCAGCUUUCAAGAGUUUGGACUCGCCUUAAAGUGAUUGGCAGCCAGUGUUUUGGUAUAGAGCGCAGCACAUUUUGCGAUUUAAUCCAGUAAUACUAGCAACCAACAAGCUCAAUUUAUCACUUUUGACCUCGGAUCAGGUAGGGAUACCCGCUGAACUUAA
RNAcentral lists this unclassified non-coding RNA (304 nucleotides) under uncultured Ascomycota. RNAcentral's name for it is "sequence contains ITS1". The stretch from base 1 to 105 matches the Rfam family "5.8S ribosomal RNA", at positions 50 to 154 of the family's 154-position model. Lineage: Eukaryota; Fungi; Ascomycota. The record is from RNAcentral.